Molecule: unclassified non-coding RNA, 310 nt
Filed under: Hevea brasiliensis (rubber tree)
Lineage: Eukaryota; Viridiplantae; Streptophyta; Magnoliopsida; Malpighiales; Euphorbiaceae
Source: RNAcentral
GUGUGAGUUAGAAUUUUGCCACAAUAACUUACCCAUAUAUGCAUACUAAAAUGAAUUGAUAUAAUUUUUAAAUCGUAGAAAAGGAUAUGUAAAAUUAAAUUCUAUAUUUGAUUCCAUCAUCGCAUGAAAUUCAAAUGAAAUGUUGAAAAUGAAAUGAAUUUUCAUCAUACCUUUUUAAUGGCGGUUCCAUAUAAUUUAAGCACUCGCUUUCUUUGAGUUUCACAUUCAAAAUCAUCAAGUACAUCCUCAGCAUCAUAGAGAGCAUCUUUAAGCUUAAUCAGCCACCCUCGCAGCUGAUGAUUAUCCACUU